CCGUCCGUCUCGGGCCGCGAGCCCUCGCG
This 29-nucleotide ribosomal RNA is filed under the name Tacca integrifolia (white bat flower). RNAcentral's name for it is "partial 26S ribosomal RNA". The record is from RNAcentral. Lineage: Eukaryota; Viridiplantae; Streptophyta; Magnoliopsida; Dioscoreales; Taccaceae.